AGCACUUUAUACUGUGAAACUGCGAAUGGGCUCAUUAAAUCAGUUAUCGUUUAUUUGAUAGUACCUUACUACAUGGAUACCUGUGGUAAUUCUAGAGCUAAUACAUGCUAAAAACCCCGACUUCAGGAAGGGGUGUAUUUAUUAGAUAAAAAACCAACGCCCUUCGGGGCUCCUUGGUGAAUCAUAAUAACUUAACGAAUCGCAUGGCCUUGCGCCGGCGAUGGUUCAUUCAAAUUUCUGCCCUAUCAACUUUCGAUGGUAGGAUAGUGGCCUACCAUGGUGGCAACGGGUAACGGGGAAUUAGGGUUCGAUUCCGGAGAGGGAGCCUGAGAAACGGCUACCACAUCCAAGGAAGGCAGCAGGCGCGCAAAUUACCCAAUCCCGAUACGGGGAGGUAGUGACAAUAAAUACUGAUACGGGGCUCUUUUGGGUCUCGUAAUUGGAAUGAGAACAAUUUAAAUCCCUUAACGAGGAACAAUUGGAGGGCAAGUCUGGUGCCAGCAGCCGCGGUAAUUCCAGCUCCAAUAGCGUAUAUUAAAGUUGUUGCAGUUAAAAAGCUCGUAGUUGAACCUUGGGUCUGGCUGGCCGGUCCGCCUCACCGCGAGUACUGGUCCGGCUGGACCUUUCCUUCUGGGGAACCCCAUGGCCUUCACUGGCUGUGGGGGGAACCANGACUUUUACUGUGAAAAAAUUANAGUGNUCAAAGCANNCCUUUGCUCGAAUACAUUANCAU
RNAcentral lists this ribosomal RNA (733 nucleotides) under Penicillium sp. ORNL15. Its description in RNAcentral is "SSU rRNA". It matches the Rfam family "Eukaryotic small subunit ribosomal RNA", at positions 68 to 810 of the family's 1831-position model. The record is from RNAcentral. Lineage: Eukaryota; Fungi; Ascomycota; Eurotiomycetes; Eurotiales; Aspergillaceae.